GAAGCCGCCACACUCCGCUUCCGCUGUCGGCGGUAAGCUCCGACUAAUGUGCAGCUACGGCGGACACAUAUUCCCUCGUCCCCACGACAAAUCUCUCUGCUACGUCGGCGGAGAAACCCGCAUUUUCGCCGCCGACCGUAACACCUCCCUCGCCGACCUUUCUGCUAAGCUCUCUAAAACCCUACUCGGCGGCCAUCCCUUUUGUUUAAAGUAUCAGCUUCAAAAUGAAGACCUUGAUUCACUUAUCUCCGUUACUUCGGAUGAAGACCUCGAAAACAUGAUCGACGAAUACGACCGUAUGAAUAUGAAUAAUUCAUCAUCUUCUAAAGUCGCUCGACUUCGUUUGUUUUUAUUUCCGAGCAAAACUGAUACAGUUGAAAUGGUUCGAGAAAAUUUAAUUAAAUCGAAGACAAUUGGAAUGGUUAGAGAAAGUUUAACGAAAUCCGAUGAUUGGUUCGUUAAUGUUUUAAAUGGUGCGAGUUCUGCUACGGUGUUUUCUGAAACUUCGUCUGUAAAUUACCUUUUGGGUUUGGAUGAUGACGUGGAAAAUGUCAAAGAUGACGUGGAGGCACAAUUAGAGGUGAAAAAUGGUGGAAAUAAUGUUACGGUUAGUGCGCAGGAUGUUAUUCAAUCGGUGCCGGAUUCUCCGAUGGUUGAAACGACGUCGUCUUUUGGGUCGAUGUCUUCUUUGAAUUUGCCGCCGAUAAAGGUUCAUGUUGAGGAGAAUCAAAAAGGUGGAAUUUUUGAGGAUCAAUUUUCACAGAUGACUCUUGGGGUAGUGAAGCAGAAGCAUGAGGAAGGAGGAUUUGUGGAUUUAUCUUCGCCGCCGGCACCGGCUGUUUUAGUGCCGGCGACGGUUUUUUCCGGCGUGCAACAGCAACAGCAGCCUCCGCAGUUGCAACCAAAGCUUGUUAUUCCAUCUGAUUUGCCUUCCCCUGAUUCAGUCUCAAGGUAAAUUAUCUAAAAGAUCUUUACUUUAAUGCAUGGACGGUGUAGAAAAAUAGUAAAUGUUACUUAAAAGGUAAUUGCAGGUAAUUUUACUUGACAGUAAUAGCAUUGAUUGAUAAUCUAGAAGAAAUCUUAACUAACUUGUUCUAACAGGUUAAAUUACCGUGGCAGUGCGUAUAAUUAAUUCUUAAAAUAUAUGUUUGUUGAAACAAACCGUACUAAUUGCUUGACAAAUGUGUUUUGUGAUCCUUUUUAUUAGUGCUAAAAUUAGGAUCUUGAUUCAAUUUGGUGCAGUGAGGGUAGUGUGACAAAUCCAUUGUCUAGGCAAAGGCAUUUCUUUUAUCAAGAACCAGGGGUUCAAUUCCAGUCGGGGAGUGGUAGGAUUUCUGGUAAUUCAGUUGAUCCGAAGAUGAGCGAUUCGAUUGGAAGGGCUCAGGUAAAACAGCAAGUUCAGGAUACUGGAUAUGCAUUGCCAGUACAAUAUGCUCAGCAACAGCAAAUGCAUCAAACUCAACAGUUUGUUCAUAUGGGGCAGUAUAUGCAGCAUACGCCUUCCGGCCCUGUGCAGAUGGCGUCUUAUUAUCCUAUAUACCCUUCACAGCACCAAACUCAUCCUCAACAACACCCUGCUCUCGAGCACCAGUGUCCCGUUUACUUUAUUCCUGCAAAACCUUCCCAAGGUUACAGUUUGCCGUUGCAACAAACAAAUUAUACUGAGCCUUCUCAAACAGUCCCUUCUGCUCGUCCCCAAACACCUCCUAUUAUGGUCACUCACACCGCAGCUUACAAUCCAGCUAGAAAUCCUCUGACAUCUAAACCUGAAACAGUUGCUGGUACAUACAGAACUGCAGGUGCGGGUGCAGCGGCUCCACAAUUUGUUCAGAUCACUUCGGGCCAGCAUC
This 1850-nucleotide long non-coding RNA is filed under the name Nicotiana tabacum (common tobacco). Its description in RNAcentral is "long non-coding RNA (NTAB_LNC000248)". Lineage: Eukaryota; Viridiplantae; Streptophyta; Magnoliopsida; Solanales; Solanaceae. The record is from RNAcentral.